This 250-nucleotide unclassified non-coding RNA is filed under the name Glomeraceae sp. RNAcentral describes it as "partial contains 5.8S ribosomal RNA and internal transcribed spacer 2". The stretch from base 1 to 71 matches the Rfam family "5.8S ribosomal RNA", at positions 84 to 154 of the family's 154-position model. Lineage: Eukaryota; Fungi; Glomeromycota; Glomeromycetes; Glomerales; Glomeraceae. The record is from RNAcentral.
GUGAAUCAUCAAAUUUUUGAACGCAAAUUGCGCUUCCUGGUAUCCCGGGAAGUAUGCCUGUUUGAGGGUCAGUUUUAACAAAAAAUCGGUUUGGUUGUAAAAUGUGAUGUUUCCGGAGACUGGGCGAAUCUUAACUUUUUCGGUUAAGGGGCUUAAAAUUGUCCUUUUUUGCGCAUUUUUAGACGUACAUAAAUUUUUUUUUUUAUUCUUCUAUUCUUAUUGCCAAAAUCUUAUAAGCUGCGAUCACAUC